UUGGUGAUUGAGUGGCGGACGGGUGAGUAACGCGUGGGUAACCUGCCCUGUACAGGGGGAUAACAGUCAGAAAUGACUGCUAAUACCGCAUAAGACCACAGCACCGCAUGGUGCAGGGGUAAAAACUCCGGUGGUAUGAGAUGGACCCGCGUCUGAUUAGGUAGUUGGUGGGGUAACGGCCUACCAAGCCGACGAUCAGUAGCCGACCUGAGAGGGUGACCGGCCACAUUGGGACUGAGACACGGCCCAAACUCCUACGGGAGGCAGCAGUGGGGAAUAUUGCACAAUGGGGGAAACCCUGAUGCAGCGACGCCGCGUGAGCGAUGAAGUAUUUCGGUAUGUAAAGCUCUAUCAGCAGGGAAGAAAAUGACGGUACCUGACUAAGAAGCACCGGCUAAAUACGUGCCAGCAGCCGCGGUAAUACGUAUGGUGCAAGCGUUAUCCGGAUUUACUGGGUGUAAAGGGAGCGUAGACGGAGUGGCAAGUCUGAUGUGAAAACCCGGGGCUCAACCCCGGGACUGCAUUGGAAACUGUCAAUCUGGAGUACCGGAGAGGUAAGCGGAAUUCCUAGUGUAGCGGUGAAAUGCGUAGAUAUUAGGAGGAACACCAGUGGCGAAGGCGGCUUACUGGACGGUAACUGACGUUGAGGCUCGAAAGCGUGGGGAGCAAA
Molecule: ribosomal RNA, 670 nt
Filed under: uncultured Lachnospiraceae bacterium
Lineage: Bacteria; Bacillati; Bacillota; Clostridia; Lachnospirales; Lachnospiraceae
Description: bacterial SSU rRNA
Rfam family: Bacterial small subunit ribosomal RNA
Source: RNAcentral